GACGUAGGGUGCGAGCGUUGUCCGGAUUUAUUGGGCGUAAAGAGCUCGUAGGCGGCUCGUCGCGUCGACCGUGAAAACCCGCGGCUUAACUGCGGGCUUGCGGUUGAUACGGGCGGGCUAGAGUUCGGUAGGGGAGACUGGAACUCCUGGUGUAGCGGUGAAAUGCGCAGAUAUCAGGAGGAACACCGGUGGCGAAGGCGGGUCUCUGGGCCGAUACUGACGCUGAGGAGCGAAAGCGUGGGGAGCGAACAGG
Molecule: ribosomal RNA, 253 nt
Filed under: uncultured bacterium
Lineage: Bacteria
Description: partial 16S ribosomal RNA
Rfam family: Bacterial small subunit ribosomal RNA
Source: RNAcentral